GCACCAUUCAGGGCAGCAGCACCAGGUAGUUUGGGAUUUGAACUUCGCUGUCAGAGGAUAAGAACAUGACUUCACUUUGUAGACAAGUUUGUUGGCUCCUCUAUCCUCCCCAAAGCAGGGAUGCCUCUUUGGACUCCUGGGUUGUGUUUCCAAGGAAGAUAGCAUCCCCUAACCAGCACAGCAUCCUUAGCCUUGCUCCUAGACCCUACCAUGCUGACAAUGCCAACUUUGAUUGACGCUGGAGUACUCCCAAAUGCCAAGCAGCUGGAGGAGGCUGCACUUUGCUUUCAGCCCAGGCUUUAGCAUUUGCCUGGUAUCUGAAGGGACGUUUCAAGACCCAUUUGAAGUAGAGAGAAGAGGUAAGUAACAUUCUUAAAAAAGCAUUAUCUCAUCCAUGAGUUCUUGUGAAAGUUGACACAGGUGCCAGGUGGGUAAUCACAGAUACUAUCUU
Long non-coding RNA from Pezoporus flaviventris, 451 nucleotides. RefSeq lists it as uncharacterized. The record is from RefSeq and is a predicted model, not a curated record. NCBI's taxonomy places the organism in Eukaryota, Metazoa, Chordata, Aves, Psittaciformes, Psittacidae. The transcript has 4 exons.